UACGGAGGAUCCGAGCGUUAUCCGGAUUUAUUGGGUUUAAAGGGUGCGUAGGCGGUCAGGUAAGUUAGAGGUGAAAGCUCGAUGCUCAACAUCGAAACUGCCUCUGAUACUGUCUGACUAGAGUGUAGUUGCGGAAGGCGGAAUGUAUGGUGUAGCGGUGAAAUGCUUAGAGAUCAUACAGAACACCGAUUGCGAAGGCAGCUUACCAAGCUACUUCUGACGUUGAGGCACGAAAGCGUGGGGAGCAAACAGG
This 253-nucleotide ribosomal RNA is filed under the name uncultured Rikenellaceae bacterium. RNAcentral's name for it is "partial 16S ribosomal RNA". It matches the Rfam family "Bacterial small subunit ribosomal RNA", at positions 524 to 776 of the family's 1533-position model. Lineage: Bacteria; Pseudomonadati; Bacteroidota; Bacteroidia; Bacteroidales; Rikenellaceae. The record is from RNAcentral.